GAGUCAAUGCAAUGCCAAUCUCAUUCUAUUGUGCUGUGUCAAAGUAACUCCUUCGAUUCCUCAAUUUCUCUGCAAAAAAUCAAACAAAACCCUCUCUCACUUCCCAAUCCUAAUCACUAGUAACCAUGAGCGAAGAAGACAAAGCACGCAACAGAGGCGUCGUCGAGCGCCGCCACCACCAGCAGCAACAGCCGCCCCAGUAUGGUACCUUUCAAGGCGUUGCUAAUUAUCCUCCUCCGCCUCCUCCCCACCACCAGCCUGUCAUCGGCUUCCCUCAGCCUGCUCCUCCCCCUGGAGCUACUGAGCCUUCCGCCUCUCCUCCGCCUCAGGAUCCCUCCUAUUAUGCUCACGGUUACCAAACCGUCACAGGUUAUGCUGUUGCUGAAGGAAGACCUGUAAGAGAGCGCCGUCUUCCUUGCUGUGGUAUUGGUGUUGGCUGGUUCUUGUAAGUUAUUAUCAUUUUAAAGUUUCAAACAGGCAGCAAAUACAAGGAUGCCUCAUUGGUUUGUAAAAACUUUCACUUGAGCUUUACAAUGUCUGGAUAUUCAUCGAGUUUUGCAAGUAUGACUCCAUAAAAUUUUCAUUUGAGCAGAAUAGUUUAGGAUUUUAAUCUUUAGAGCUAAAUGAGCUGACCAAUUGAUGCUAAAACUCGCUCAUGUUUUAUGUCUAUACGUUAAUAUCAUGAUGGCUGAGCUUUUCUUGUUUGGUUGGAUGUGCUUACUCUUUGGUACUUAAUAAAUAGAGUUAUAUUUGGGGCUUCGUUGUUGAUUAUGAAAUGCUUCUAGUACAAAGGGAGCUGUUUAAGGGUAUUUUCUUGUAAUUUUUUUUUGAAUAUUUAGACCUUUCAUUUAUAAUCAUUAUUAUUUAUAUAUUGACCGUCCUUUCAUGAAGGUUUAUUAUCGGUUUCUUUCUCGGUGCUAUCCCCUGGUUUAUUGGGCUAUUCGUUCUACUAUGUGCAAGGAUUGAUCCACGAGAGAAACCAGGAUACAUUGCUUGCACAAUUGCUGUGAGUGACACUUCCAUUUUCUGAAAAUUUACAAGCUGUUGUGCGAUCCUAUUUUGCACUUUGUUUGGAAUUACAUCUAAAUUUUGAUUAUUUCACAAAAAAAAUAUUGUUGUUUUUUAAAAUUCUGAAAGCUUGUUCUUGAGAAUUGAAUUACGUAAGAAUUAUGUUGAUGUGCAUGAGUGCCACAUUGGAGCAAGCCGUCAAUUGCACACUUUUGAGAACAAUUAUUUACAGUAUACAUUAGUCAAUUGUUAAUGGAUUAUGCAGUUGAGGGAAUGUUUUGAAGUCUAAACUCUUCAUUUGAUUAUACAUGAGGCAAUGAACUCUUAGCCUAGAGGAGGAAUUACAAACAUACAAAAUGCCUCCGUAUUCUAUAUAAUAUCAUAGUUUUUAAACUUGGAUGUGAUAUUGAAUAGGUAAAGGGACUUGGUUAGUAGACUAUUAGGUUGAUUGGUAGUUCACUUGUUGCAUUGGAAAGUUGGUUAAAAAAAUAAAUAUUCACAAACAAUAAAACCGUGUAAUAAACAUCCUUAUAUCCCACUGUCAUUUUUCAUUUUCAACUAAUAAAGUUUGGAAGUCAACGUUGCUGCUCCGUAAGGGCUUUAUUUUGGUCUUCUGUCUUCAGGGGGUGAAUACUAUUGACUUAUUGCGAAAAAAGGUGGACCAAUAAGUACUUAUAUCCUAAUUGCAUUUUACAUUGUGAAGUGGCGUAAGUCAUCUGUAAUUGCCUUUUUAGGCUGCUUGAGGAGGGUGGAAUAUGUUUGGAUACUUAGGAGGGUAUGAUGGUAUAAAGGAUGAUAAAAUUCUUCAAAGUAGUACUUUUUUUUUAAUUUAUUUUAUUGAUUAUUGAAGAAUUUGAGAGAAACUUUAUGAAAAUGAGUGAUUGUAUUGAAAUUGAUCUGAAGCUAAGAUAUGAAGGCUUUUAUACAGCUCAAUACAUGUGCUAAGCUAAUAACAGGCUUGCUGACUCAGCUACAAGACAAAUAACAAAUUUCCCAACUAAUAAAUUACAGAAGAACCUUCAAGAAUCUGCAGCAUCAACUCUGCUACUGCUGCUGAACACAACAUAAUCUCUACAAUUAUUUGGAUGGAAAGGAGUGCCCACAUUUUAAAAUUAGGUUUUCCUUAAGUUUGCUAUGGGAUUGGGUGGUUUUCUUGGCUUUUUCUUGGAUGGAUUUCUUAAAAGUAUUUUUGAAUGCAAUUCAACCUGAUUGGAGGGUGUUACAUUUUAGUAUCUUUGCCCUUUUCAUUUUUGUGCUGAUUAGGCUAAGAGGAUGCUCUAUCCUUCACAUUGUUUGUUCAUUUCUUGUAGUUAUUCAAAAGAAGUUGCUAAUUAUAUUAUUAUACACAAAACAUGCAUAUAAAAUUCAUGAGUUUGAAGCAGUGGAGUGCUAUCUGGAGUGGUUCUGGUGGAUGGGACAUUGAGGAGGCAGAUGCAUAUGUCACACUCAUGACCGCUGAUAUGUUUGUCAUGGAUGAUUUAGUAACAAACUGUCAAAGAGGGUGUGGUUAUUUCCAUUCCAAAUAUAUUUGAUACACUCAUUUUCACUUUUUAUUGAUGAAAUUGCAAUAUUAUACCCAUACUUCAAUGUGAUUGACUAAGAAAGAAAGUAUGAGUGAUUUAAUCAUUUAAUCAAACAAAAAGGCAGAAUGGAGUGCAUUUAAGAAAUAUGAAGUGGGAAUACCACAAGGUCCACAACCUUGUCAAGAUUCCACUACUAUUUGGAAAUCUAAGCUUAUGUGUUGUAAAUUUGAGGAAUUCGAUCUCUUUGUAAGAGGGAUUUUCGUGCCUCAUAUCCUUCAAAUAUUAAUAUAGAGGUAGAAAAUUCAAAUUCUCUUUUUGGUUGCUUUUGAAAAACUUGAGCAUGCUUUAGUGUGUUUUUCUUCGUAAUAUAUGUAAGAUAUAUUUCCAAGUUUGUCAUGAAGUGCAUUAUGGAUUGCUACGAUUUCUAGUCACUUUUCACACCCUCAUUCAAGUAUCACUACUCAAAUUAGAACUGCAUUCUGUUGUAUUGUCAACUGUAGUUGUGAAUUUAUUUUGUCAGUUGGGGUAUGAAAAAUGGAGGAUUUUGUCUGUUCCAACAUAAAAAUGCAAGAAUAAUGCUCUUUGUGCAGGCUGUUCUUGCCACCGUUGCAAUUAUUCUUGGUGUAACUAAGGGAUCAGAAGAUUAGCAAUCGUUUGGCCAAGAGUAGCAAAAUGGAUGUGAACACACAUGCAUCAGUUCCAAAGUAAUUUAGCACUCUUGAGUAUGCAAUACUGCGAUUGAUUCUUAGUUGUGUUAGUGGAGUGUUCUGAACAAUUCGUUGGGAGAUGAUUUCCAUAAAUGUUUAAUGCAGUUAUUGUUGUACUUAUCUGAAUGUGUGCUUUGAUUAUUUAUUUGUGAAAAUCAGCAGACAUGUUGUAUAUUUAUAAUUAUAAUAUUAUUAUAUAAUAUUAAUUUUUAGAUAUUAGAAGAGAAAUAGAAGUUGGUGGAUUCAGGUUGAGUCAAUUGUACCUGUUUAAGCUUUUCAGAUUUCAGUACAUUGCUCCAGUGGCGAGUGAAG
Molecule: unclassified non-coding RNA, 3550 nt
Filed under: Hevea brasiliensis (rubber tree)
Lineage: Eukaryota; Viridiplantae; Streptophyta; Magnoliopsida; Malpighiales; Euphorbiaceae
Source: RNAcentral